Molecule: ribosomal RNA, 318 nt
Filed under: Pantoea sp.
Lineage: Bacteria; Pseudomonadati; Pseudomonadota; Gammaproteobacteria; Enterobacterales; Erwiniaceae
Description: bacterial SSU rRNA
Rfam family: Bacterial small subunit ribosomal RNA
Source: RNAcentral
ACAGGUGCUGCAUGGCUGUCGUCAGCUCGUGUUGUGAAAUGUUGGGUUAAGUCCCGCAACGAGCGCAACCCUUAUCCUUUGUUGCCAGCGAUUCGGUCGGGAACUCAAAGGAGACUGCCGGUGAUAAACCGGAGGAAGGUGGGGAUGACGUCAAGUCAUCAUGGCCCUUACGAGUAGGGCUACACACGUGCUACAAUGGCGCAUACAAAGAGAAGCGACCUCGCGAGAGCAAGCGGACCUCACAAAGUGCGUCGUAGUCCGGAUCGGAGUCUGCAACUCGACUCCGUGAAGUCGGAAUCGCUAGUAAUCGUGGAUCAG